Long non-coding RNA from Mesocricetus auratus (golden hamster), 446 nucleotides. RefSeq lists it as uncharacterized. The record is from RefSeq and is a predicted model, not a curated record. NCBI's taxonomy places the organism in Eukaryota, Metazoa, Chordata, Mammalia, Rodentia, Cricetidae. The transcript is spliced from 3 exons.
ACAGUUCAGCGGUGCCUCAAUCUCCCCCAUUUUGCACCAUAUUUCUGUCUCAGGGGUCAGAUCCCAGCCAGCCUAGCUUUCAGGACAAUGAGUCUUCUCAGCACCGGAGAUGACAGGUCCCGGACACAAUUCUGCCUAAAGGGACCCCUGGGAGAACCAGGAGACAGAAAAAUAAGCCAGUGUGCUCUCGGUACAAGAGUCAACUGAUACCAGGACCCGCCUGUCGGUCUCCACACCAGCCGCUGAGCUGUGAGGACAGGAUAAAUUCAUUUGCAAAGGACAAGCAUAAAACCUCCGGUGAAAUGCAACGUACCACAUCCAGGUCCCCAGCCCAUGGUAUGAUGCUGUCUGCAUUCAAGAUGGGUCUUUCUUCUUCUCUGGAAAUGCCUCACAGGCAUGUUUCCAUCGUCAACCUAAAUUCAGUCCAGUUGACAAUGAAGACUAAC